This 86-nucleotide non-coding RNA is filed under the name Eutreptiella gymnastica. The record is from RNAcentral. Lineage: Eukaryota; Euglenozoa; Euglenophyceae; Eutreptiales; Eutreptiaceae.
CCCGGCUCUUGAUGACGGUGGCUCACCAGAGCCCGACCGCUUUCAACGGCUUGAUUUGGCCUGCAUGGACCUCAGCUCCCUCCCAG